Molecule: ribosomal RNA, 732 nt
Filed under: uncultured Lactobacillus sp.
Lineage: Bacteria; Bacillati; Bacillota; Bacilli; Lactobacillales; Lactobacillaceae
Description: bacterial SSU rRNA
Rfam family: Bacterial small subunit ribosomal RNA
Source: RNAcentral
GCCUAAUACAUGCAAUUCGACGAAACUUCUUUAUCACCGAGNUGCUUGCACUCACCGAUAAAGAGUUGAGUGGCGAACGGGUGAGUAACACGUGGGCAACCUGCCCAAAAGAGGGGGAUAACACUUGGAAACAGGUGCUAAUACCGCAUAACCAUAGUUACCGCAUGGUAACUAUGUAAAAGGUGGCUAUGCUACCGCUUUUGGAUGGGCCCGCGGCGCAUUAGCUAGUUGGUGGGGUAAAGGCUUACCAAGGCAAUGAUGCGUAGCCGAACUGAGAGGUUGAUCGGCCACAUUGGGACUGAGACACGGCCCAAACUCCUACGGGAGGCAGCAGUAGGGAAUCUUCCACAAUGGGCGAAAGCCUGAUGGAGCAACGCCGCGUGGGUGAAGAAGGUCUUCGGAUCGUAAAACCCUGUUGUUAGAGAAGAAAGUGCGUGAGAGUAACUGUUCACGUUUCGACGGUAUCUAACCAGAAAGCCACGGCUAACUACGUGCCAGCAGCCGCGGUAAUACGUAGGUGGCAAGCGUUAUCCGGAUUUAUUGGGCGUAAAGGGAACGCAGGCGGUCUUUUAAGUCUGAUGUGAAAGCCUUCGGCUUAACCGGAGUAGUGCAUUGGAAACUGGGAGACUUGAGUGCAGAAGAGGAGAGUGGAACUCCAUGUGUAGCGGUGAAAUGCGUAGAUAUAUGGAAGAACACCAGUGGCGAAAGCGGCUCUCUGGUCUGUAACUGACG